UGAGGAAUAUUCCACAAUGGGCGAAAGCCUGAUGGAGCAAUGCCGCGUGCAGGAUGAAGGCCUUCGGGUUGUAAACUGCUUUUAUAUGAGAAGACUAUGACGGUAACAUAUGAAUAAGGACCGGCUAACUACGUGCCAGCAGCCGCGGUCAUACGUAGGGUCCAAGCGUUAUCCGGAGUGACUGGGCGUAAAGAGUUGCGUAGGCUGUUAUAUAAGCGAGUGAUGAAAACUAUCGGCUCAACCGGUAGCCUAUCAUUCGAACUGUAUAACUCGAGAGUAUCAGAGGUCGCUGGAAUUCCUAGUGUAGGAGUGGAAUCCGUAGAUAUUAGGAGGAACACCAAUGGCGUAGGCAGGCGACUGGGAUAUUUCUGACGCUAAGGCACGAAAGCGUGGGGAGCGAACCGG
Molecule: ribosomal RNA, 405 nt
Filed under: uncultured bacterium
Lineage: Bacteria
Description: bacterial SSU rRNA
Rfam family: Bacterial small subunit ribosomal RNA
Source: RNAcentral